This 301-nucleotide ribosomal RNA is filed under the name Acidovorax sp. Expt2_P2WS_E01. Its description in RNAcentral is "bacterial SSU rRNA". It matches the Rfam family "Bacterial small subunit ribosomal RNA", at positions 1044 to 1351 of the family's 1533-position model. The record is from RNAcentral. Lineage: Bacteria; Pseudomonadati; Pseudomonadota; Betaproteobacteria; Burkholderiales; Comamonadaceae.
CAUGGCUGUCGUCAGCUCGUGUCGUGAGAUGUUGGGUUAAGUCCCGCAACGAGCGCAACCCUUGCCAUUAGUUGCUACGAAAGGGCACUCUAAUGGGACUGCCGGUGACAAACCGGAGGAAGGUGGGGAUGACGUCAAGUCCUCAUGGCCCUUAUAGGUGGGGCUACACACGUCAUACAAUGGCUGGUACAGAGGGUUGCCAACCCGCGAGGGGGAGCCAAUCCCAUAAAGCCAGUCGUAGUCCGGAUCGCAGUCUGCAACUCGACUGCGUGAAGUCGGAAUCGCUAGUAAUCGCGGAUCA